GGCCUUGUAGCUCAACUGGAUAGAGCACCUCACUACGGAUGAGGAGGUUUGGGGUUCGAAUCCCUACAGGGUCACCA
This 77-nucleotide transfer RNA is filed under the name Flavobacteriales bacterium. RNAcentral's name for it is "tRNA-Arg". It matches the Rfam family "tRNA". From Rfam's summary of the family: Transfer RNA (tRNA) molecules are approximately 80 nucleotides in length. Their secondary structure includes four short double-helical elements and three loops (D, anti-codon, and T loops). The record is from RNAcentral. Lineage: Bacteria; Pseudomonadati; Bacteroidota; Flavobacteriia; Flavobacteriales.